AUUGAACGCUGGCGGAAUGCUUCACACAUGCAAGUCGAACGGCAGCACGGACUUCGGUCUGGUGGCGAGUGGCGAACGGGUGAGUAAUGUAUCGGAACGUGCCCAGUCGUGGGGGAUAACGUAGUGAAAAUUACGCUAAUACCGCAUACGAUCUAUGGAUGAAAGCGGGGGAUCGCAAGACCUCGCUCGAUUGGAGCGGCCGAUAUCAGAUUAGGUAGUUGGUGGGGUAAAGGCCCACCAAGCCAACGAUCUGUAGCUGGUCUGAGAGGACGACCAGCCACACUGGAACUGAGACACGGUCCAGACUCCUACGGGAGGCAGCAGUGGGGAAUUUUGGACAAUGGGCGAAAGCCUGAUCCAGCCAUUCCGCGUGCAGGAUGAAGGCCCUCGGGUUGUAAACUGCUUUUGUACAGAACGAAAAGGUUUCUACUAAUACUAGGAGCUCAUGACGGUACUGUAAGAAUAAGCACCGGCUAACUACGUGCCAGCAGCCGCCGUAA
RNAcentral lists this ribosomal RNA (500 nucleotides) under uncultured bacterium. RNAcentral's name for it is "partial 16S ribosomal RNA". It matches the Rfam family "Bacterial small subunit ribosomal RNA", at positions 30 to 523 of the family's 1533-position model. The record is from RNAcentral.